ACAGCAGCAGCCGCGGUAAUACGAAGGGUGCAAGCGUUACUCGGAAUUACUGGGCGUAAAGCGUGCGUAGGCGGUGAGUUAAGUCUGCUGUGAAAUCCCCGGGCUCAACCUGGGAAUGGCAGUGGAUACUGGCUCGCUAGAGUGUGUCAGAGGAUGGUGGAAUUCCCGGUGUAGCGGUGAAAUGCGUAGAGAUCGGGAGGAACAUCAGUGGCGAAGGCGGCCAUCUGGGACAACACUGACGCUGAGGCACGAAAGCGUGGGGAGCAAACAGGAUUAGAUACCCCUGUAGUCCCUGUCUCUUAUAC
Molecule: ribosomal RNA, 305 nt
Filed under: uncultured bacterium
Lineage: Bacteria
Description: partial 16S ribosomal RNA
Rfam family: Bacterial small subunit ribosomal RNA
Source: RNAcentral